Molecule: long non-coding RNA, 599 nt
Filed under: Rosa chinensis
Lineage: Eukaryota; Viridiplantae; Streptophyta; Magnoliopsida; Rosales; Rosaceae
Description: sRNA RchiOBHm_Chr6g0273531
Source: RNAcentral
UUGAUCAUAUUAACUUAGUGUUUUGUAGGUACAUUAUGUUUGUGGAGAUACUUUAGGAGCUAAAUGGAGUCUCAAAGACUAGAAAUGACUAAAGCAAGGCACAAGUGGCGCAGAAAUGAAGAAAAAUAAAGAAAUGAAAGUUCUCCCAAUCCUACUAGGAAAAUGAAUCCCAGUUGGAGUAGGAAUCAGAAACUGACUUGGACUCAAACUCUUAAGUCGCGGAAAUUUGGAGUUCUACUUGAAUCAAGAGUCCCAAUUCGAGUCAGAUAAGGAAACCUAGUGUCAGAAAGAGUCCCUGUUGAACAAGGAUUGCUCGAGAAGAUUCUGGAAACAUCUAGAAACAUUUCGUGGAAGAAGUCCUUAUUGGACUAGGAAACCUAUUGGCAUGUGGAGUCCUGAUGAUACUAAGAGACCUGUGGAAGCCAGGAGACGUCAAAGAAGGAUCAUGAAGCUCCUAGAAGAUGUCUAGACGUCAUGUGCAAAGAUUCUGGAUUGAACUCUGAUUGCUUUUGUCGUGAGAAUUGGAAGUUUCUAGAAGGUCAUGUGUCGUGCAACAUCUCAUGGAGUACAUAUUGAAUUUGGAUAUUGAAUAAAUGUUG